RNAcentral lists this long non-coding RNA (239 nucleotides) under Mytilus galloprovincialis (Mediterranean mussel). The record is from RNAcentral. Lineage: Eukaryota; Metazoa; Mollusca; Bivalvia; Mytilida; Mytilidae.
GAACGCGCUAAAGUGCCCUUUUUAAAAACGCGCCCCUCUAUUUUCAAAUCCUAGCUGGAACACUGAAUAAUAUAUAUGAGAAAUUAAAAAGUAUAUUGUCUGAGAAACUGUUCUCAAACUCUCUCCCACUUGCAAAAUAAAAUAUCCCAUUGUAACUUGGCCCAUCUGCGUUCUUGAUAUGUUCUAGCUAUAGUCUUUUGAAUUUAUACACACCACUUAAAGAAUGCUUAAGUACAGGC